RNAcentral lists this transfer RNA (77 nucleotides) under Alphaproteobacteria bacterium. RNAcentral's name for it is "tRNA-Trp". It matches the Rfam family "tRNA". Rfam says of the family: Transfer RNA (tRNA) molecules are approximately 80 nucleotides in length. Their secondary structure includes four short double-helical elements and three loops (D, anti-codon, and T loops). Lineage: Bacteria; Pseudomonadati; Pseudomonadota; Alphaproteobacteria. The record is from RNAcentral.
AGGAGUGUAGCUCAACUGGUCAGAGCGCCGGUCUCCAAAACCGGAGGUUGCGGGUUCGAGUCCCUCCACUCCUCCCA